Molecule: long non-coding RNA, 1039 nt
Organism: Panicum virgatum (switchgrass)
Lineage: Eukaryota; Viridiplantae; Streptophyta; Magnoliopsida; Poales; Poaceae
Exons: 2
Source: RefSeq, a predicted model, not a curated record
CUCGGCGUUGCUACUUGCUAGCUCUCGCGCGUCGGCUCCACGCGGUGCGCCAUGGAGCUCGUGCCCGCCGGUCCACCUACACCUGUUAGCCUCACACCCUCACCUCGCAGUCCUCGCCUCCAGGCUCCAGCGCCGCCAGUCUUCUCCAAUCUCCAUGACGCUCCGGCAGUCCGGCAUCCCUCGUGCCCGUCCUCCGCCGCCUGCCAACCUCCACCGCUGUGGCCGCAGGGCCUCGCCUUUUUGGCGACUCCACCAAAGUGACGGAACCAAAAUCCGUCGCUCUCAUCACUGGAGCUGCCUACUCCAUGCAGAGUUGUGGUCCUCCUUCCGCUCCAAUAGGCUGCGGUGGCCGCGCCCCCUCUACAUGCUCUGCAGUCUGCACGUCCACCUCACCAUUGCCGAUUCCCGUCGGCGCCCCUGCUAGAGGCUGAUUGCUGGCCACGACGGCUGUGACAGACUCGACAUUUGCCUCCCCCUAUCGUCAUCAAGGUCCUUCACUUGAGCAAUCUCCUGCUGCAGCUACGUCUCCACUAGUGCUGGCAAAGGUUAUCCGGCUCAAUUCAGCUAAUCAGACCCAAUUAAGCCACCUUAUCAGUUCUCUCUCUCUCUCUUUCUCUACAAAUGGUGCAGUAGUUGAUUGAAAUCCUUUCUGUAUGCUCUUUUGUUUAUUCAAAUUGAUCUGCAAUUCAUACCUGCAGCCUUUUGUGUGCUCAUGAUUUUGCUACAGGUCUGUCAAGCAUAUGUGCUCGAGCAUGGAGUGAUUCCCAGUGAGGCAUCUAUGUGGGUGAUGAAUACAUUGAAUAGCAAAUGUUUGAUGCAGGCCGGCACUACAAACUGAUACUAUCUUGCACAUGCUGCUCAGAUCAGCCACAACAUAUGCAGUCAUUUGUGCUUUAUCAUUUACAAUUGUAAUUGAACUAUCUUUGUGAUGAAUGAUUGCAUGGCCUUGAUCAUCAGUCUUGAGUUGUAAUGUUCAAUGUUUUGGUGUCAAUUGAUAGAUGAUUCCUAUUUGUACUAAUAUGUAUUUUUUUUGCGGGUA